GAUGAACGCUGGCGGCGUGCCUAAUACAUGCAAGUUGAGCGCUGAAGGUUGGUACUUGUACCGACUGGAUGAGCAGCGAACGGGUGAGUAACGCGUGGGGAAUCUGCCUUUGAGCGGGGGACAACAUUUGGAAACGAAUGCUAAUACCGCAUAAAAACUUUAAACACAAGUUUUAAGUUUGAAAGAUGCAAUUGCAUCACUCAAAGAUGAUCCCGCGUUGUAUUAGCUAGUUGGUGAGGUAAAGGCUCACCAAGGCGAUGAUACAUAGCCGACCUGAGAGGGUGAUCGGCCACAUUGGGACUGAGACACGGCCCAAACUCCUACGGGAGGCAGCAGUAGGGCAUCUUCGGCAAUGGACGGAAGUCUGACCGAGCAACGCCGCGUGAGUGAAGAAGGUUUUCGGAUCGUAAAACUCUGUUGGUAGAGAAGAACGUUGGUGAGAGUGGAAAGCUCAUCAAGUGACGGUAACUACCCAGAAAGGGACGGCUAACUACGUGCCAGCAGCCGCCGUAA
Molecule: ribosomal RNA, 513 nt
Filed under: uncultured bacterium
Lineage: Bacteria
Description: partial 16S ribosomal RNA
Rfam family: Bacterial small subunit ribosomal RNA
Source: RNAcentral